Molecule: long non-coding RNA, 312 nt
Filed under: Androctonus crassicauda
Lineage: Eukaryota; Metazoa; Arthropoda; Arachnida; Scorpiones; Buthidae
Source: RNAcentral
CAACUAGAAUCGUACCAAAUUUUAAUGUCUCCUCCAACUUUAGAUAUCCCUCGAUAAAGAAUGAAAUCACAUAAUGUGAAUAGGAAUGCCGCGUGACGCCACCGCGAGCUGUAGCGAUGCGCGCGGGGCUCUGGAGGCGAAAUGCGGGCGAUUGCCUGGCGCGCGAGAAUUGGCUGGUUCGCAUGCGCAGACCGAUAGCUUUCUUCUACGACUGCGCAUAACAUCGCAGUCGGUGGACAUUUCACCACCAUUAUGUAUAAAAUACGAUCCCAUCAAAAACAUCUCAUAUGUGGAAGGAUGGGCCAAGUGCAG